Molecule: ribosomal RNA, 294 nt
Filed under: uncultured bacterium
Lineage: Bacteria
Description: partial 16S ribosomal RNA
Rfam family: Bacterial small subunit ribosomal RNA
Source: RNAcentral
GUAGUCCAUGCCGUAAACGUUGGGAACUAGAUGUAGGGACCAUUCCACGGUUUCUGUGUCGCAGCUAACGCAUUAAGUUCCCCGCCUGGGGAGUACGGCCGCAAGGCUAAAACUCAAAGGAAUUGACGGGGGCCCGCACAAGCGGCGGAGCAUGCGGAUUAAUUCGAUGCAACGCGAAGAACCUUACCAAGGCUUGACAUAUACCGGAAAAGUUCAGAAAUGUUCUCCCCGCAAGGUCGGUAUACAGGUGGUGCAUGGUUGUCGUCAGCUCGUGUCGUGAGAUGUUGGGUUAAG